Long non-coding RNA from Passer domesticus (house sparrow), 912 nucleotides. RefSeq lists it as uncharacterized. The transcript is spliced from 2 exons. The record is from RefSeq and is a predicted model, not a curated record. NCBI's taxonomy places the organism in Eukaryota, Metazoa, Chordata, Aves, Passeriformes, Passeridae.
GGUCUGUUUAUCUCCAUUUAGGGAGAAGCAGUUUUGGAAGACUUUUAUGCAGCAGCAAACAGAAAUUGUCCAUGUACAAGGAGACCUGCAAGAAGCAUUUUCCAUGCAGAUGAUGGCUGAUAGAGGAAAUAGCACCAUAUGCCUCAUCUACACCAAGCUUUUCACAGGAAAUUCCAAGCACUAACAAGUUAAAACCUUCUUCUCUUUUUAACUCUUUUUCCUGGUAACUCUUUCCCCCUGCCCCAGGCUAGGAUGUUACAAUACAGGUCUGUGAGGCUGUAUUCUGUGAAUUUGAGGUUAAACUUUUGCCAUCAGCCACAAAUAAAUGACAGACUAGUCCCUUUAAGUGACAGAGGAGGAGCUGUGGGAUGAUAAUACUUACUGAGCCCUAUUUCACCCAAGUUCCCCUUGCCCACCCAAGCCCCCAUCACCCAUCUAAUUGUGAUCAAACAAUACAGACUGUGGAGUAGGAAGAAAAUGUAAUUGGUUACACAAGGAAAGAAACUUUCUGAGGAACUGGAUCACACUGCAUCUGCCAUUAAGCCCACAGUGGGAUUCAAAUCCCUUUCAGAGAGGCUGCCAAAACCCUUGCCAGCUCUCAGCCAGAACCAAGCUGUCAAACACAGACCAGGGCUUUGCAGCAACUCGAGCCUUCCUGCUUGCCAGACCUUGGGGACCAGAAGCAACAGAAAAUGCAGCACUCUUGUGACUGGCUUCCCCGCCACUCCCAGCAAAUUGCUACACUGCUAACGUGGUAACAGAGCUGAAAAAUUCAGGGGAAACAGGAUGAAGUCACCCACUCAUUGCACUGGAAGCAAAGAGAAAUUUGGACUGUGAAUCCCAUCUCGACAGAUCAGGCAACGCAUCUUCAACUGUAUGGAGCACAAGUAAAUAAUGUCUUGCCAACUUUUA